GACAGCAACCACUUGCAGAGGGAAAAUGACUAAUACUACAAAUAGACUUUUCUCAAAAGCAUAAAGUUGCAGUAAUGGCUAUAUAAAUACCUAACACAACACCUCUUUUAAGAAAUGCAAACAAAACUAAGAGACAAAUAGAUGGCUUCCCAAAAUAAUAAGCACUUCUCAAGGAUUGGAGAAGUUCUUAGGUUUGUUUUAGUGCUUAUUCUUUUGUCUACCAACGUGUUCGCAAACAGGAACUUGCUUGCUGCCCCUAAUGGUGAAAAGAUGGGUAUUACGGUUGAGAAAGUGAAGAUGAAGGACGGACCUGAUAGGCCAUGGGAACCCGGCGGAGGAGGAUGAGGACGAGGACGCAACAAUAAAACCUAUAGAAAACACCAAACUUUAAAUUUAAGUUAAUGCUUCACAAUGAAUGAUUAUUAUUGAAAAAAAUUGUAAAAUAAGUAACAAAAUCAAUAUCAAUAUUAGAUGGAGAAGAAAUGAUAUUACGAAGGUUCAAAUGAAUAGAAGUACUUAUUCAAUCUUACUAUGAAAUUAAUAGAGAAUUCAAUUAAAUAGAGAAAAAAUAACAUUACACGAGA
Molecule: long non-coding RNA, 584 nt
Organism: Cucumis melo (muskmelon)
Lineage: Eukaryota; Viridiplantae; Streptophyta; Magnoliopsida; Cucurbitales; Cucurbitaceae
Exons: 2
Source: RefSeq, a predicted model, not a curated record